AACGCACAUUGCGCCCUCUGGUAUUCCAGAGGGCAUGCCUGUUUGAGCGUCAUUCCUCUCUCAAACCCUCGGGUUUGGUAUUGAGUGAUACUCUUAGUCGAACUAGGCGUUUGCUUGAAAUUUAUUGGCAUGAGUGAUGCUAAAAAGUGCAUUCAGGAACUAUCAAUGUAUUAGGUUUAUCCAACUCGUUGACAAUCCUUGAUUGUGAAUUUUUAGUGUUAGGCUUUGCCUUAUAAAACAACAAACAAGUUUGACCUCAAAUCAGGUAGGAUUACCCGCUGAACUUAA
Molecule: unclassified non-coding RNA, 288 nt
Filed under: uncultured Candida
Lineage: Eukaryota; Fungi; Ascomycota; Saccharomycetes; Saccharomycetales
Description: sequence contains ITS2
Rfam family: 5.8S ribosomal RNA (bases 1-52)
Source: RNAcentral